GCCUGGGUGGCUUAGUCGGUUAAGCAUCAGACUUAGGCUCAGGUCAUGAUCUCACGGUUUGUGAGUUCAAGCCCCACAUUGGGCU
RNAcentral lists this transfer RNA (85 nucleotides) under Felis catus (domestic cat). It matches the Rfam family "tRNA". From Rfam's summary of the family: Transfer RNA (tRNA) molecules are approximately 80 nucleotides in length. Their secondary structure includes four short double-helical elements and three loops (D, anti-codon, and T loops). The record is from Rfam by way of RNAcentral. RNAcentral also lists the same sequence under 2 other names. Lineage: Eukaryota; Metazoa; Chordata; Mammalia; Carnivora; Felidae.